RNAcentral lists this ribosomal RNA (1363 nucleotides) under Laonome kroyeri. RNAcentral describes it as "SSU rRNA". It matches the Rfam family "Eukaryotic small subunit ribosomal RNA", at positions 66 to 1425 of the family's 1831-position model. The record is from RNAcentral. Lineage: Eukaryota; Metazoa; Annelida; Polychaeta; Sabellida; Sabellidae.
CUUGACACUUCGGUGUCGAAACUGCGGACGGCUCAUUAAAUCAUACAUACGAUCUGGGGCGGUUGACGGGGAGUCACUUCGGUGGCUCCUUUAUAUGGAUAACUGUGGCAAUUCUAGAGCUAAUACAUGACCUACAAGCCUUGACCCCCCCGGGGAACGGUGCUUUUGACCACAUGCAAGACUAAUGGCCCCCUCGGGGGUCUCAAACUUGAGGAAAUCUGGACAAAUUAUGCUGACCGGGGCAUCUGCCUCGGUUUGCUUCUGAAGUGUAUGCCCUAUCAACUGACGAUGGUAGUUCCAAUGCCUACCAUGGUGAUAACGGGUANNNNNGGAAUCAGGGUUCUGUUCCGGAGAGGGAGCAUGAGAAACGGCUACCACAUCCNAGGAAGGCAGCAGGCGCGCAAAUUACCCACUCCUGACACGGGGNGGUAGUGACGACAAAUAACAAUACGAGACUCUUUCGAGGCUUCUUAAUUGGAAUGAGAACGUUGUAAAGUCCCUAACGAGGAUCUACUGGAGGGCAAGUCUGGUGCCAGCAGCCGCGNNAAUUCCAGCUCCANUANCGUAUAUUAAANUGUUGCAGUUAAAAAGCUCGUANUGGCCGUCGGGNGNGGGCCGGCGGCCUGCUCACGCAGGNACUGCCCGUUCCAACCCAUCUGUGGGCCUUCCCUCAGUGCCCUUAACUGGGUGCUUUGGGAGACUCGCGCGUUUACUUUGAAAAAAUUAGAGUGUUCAAGGCAGGCGCAGUCCGCUUGUAUAUCGAUGCAUGGAAUAAUGAAAGAGGAUACCCGUCCUGAUCUGUUAGUCCUCAGGAUCCGGGUAUAAUGAAUAAUAGACACGGUCGGGGGCACCAGUAUUACAUCGUGAGAGGUGAAAUUCUAGGACCUCUGUAAGACUAACUACAGCGAAAGCAUUUGCCAAGCACGUUUUCAUUGAUCAAGAACGAAAGUCAGAGGUUCGAAGACGAUCAGAUACCGUCGUAGUUCUGACCAUAAACGAUGCCAGCUGGGGAUCCGCGGGAGUUUUUCCAUAAGACUCCGCGGGGACCCUACGGGAAACCAAAGCUUUUGGGUUCCGGGGGAAGUAUGGUUGCAAAGCUGAAACUUAAAGGAAUUGACGGAAGGGCACCACCAGGAGUGGAGCCUGCGGCUUAAUUUGACUCAACACGGGAAAACUCACCCGGCCAGGACACCGUAAGGAUUGACAGAUUGAGAGCUCUUUCUCGAUUCGGUGGGUGGUGGUGCAUGGCCGUUCUUAGUGGUGGAGCGAUUUGUCUGGUAAUUCCGAUAACGAACGAGACUCUGGCCUAUUAAAUAUGUUCGCGGCCUCCAGAUGGCCGUGCCAACUUCUUAAGGGACAAGUG